GUCAGAACCACCGAGUGGUCUAAGGUGCCAGACUCAAGUUCUUGUCCUCGAUUGAGAACGUGGGUUCAAAUCACACUUCUGACA
Non-coding RNA from Picea glauca (white spruce), 84 nucleotides. The record is from Rfam. Lineage: Eukaryota; Viridiplantae; Streptophyta; Pinopsida; Pinales; Pinaceae.